This 397-nucleotide ribosomal RNA is filed under the name uncultured bacterium. RNAcentral describes it as "bacterial SSU rRNA". It matches the Rfam family "Bacterial small subunit ribosomal RNA", at positions 362 to 776 of the family's 1533-position model. The record is from RNAcentral.
UAUUGCACAAUGGGGGAAACCCUGAUGCAGCGACGCCGCGUGAGUGAAGAAGUAUUUCGGUAUGUAAAGCUCUAUCAGCAGGGAAGAANAUGACGGUACCUGAUUAAGAAGAUGCGGCUAACGACGUGCCAGCAGCCGCGGUAAUACGUAGGGGGCAAGCGUUAUCCGGAUUUACUGGGUGUAAAGGGAGCGUAGACGGCAGCACAAGUCUGGAGUGAAAUGCCGGGGCUUAACCCCGGAACUGCUUUGGAACCUGUGCAGCUAGAGUGCAGGAGAGGUAAGUGGAAUUCCUAGUGUAGCGGUGAAAUUCGUAGAUAUUAGGAGGAGCACCAGUGGCGAAGGCGGCUUACUGGACUGUAACUGACGUUGAGGCUCGAAAGCGUGGGGAGCAAACAGG